RNAcentral lists this ribosomal RNA (253 nucleotides) under uncultured bacterium. Its description in RNAcentral is "partial 16S ribosomal RNA". It matches the Rfam family "Bacterial small subunit ribosomal RNA", at positions 524 to 776 of the family's 1533-position model. The record is from RNAcentral.
UACGGAGGGUGCAAGCGUUGUCCGGAAUCACUGGGCGUAAAGGGCGCGUAGGCGGCCCGGUAAGUAGGGGGUGAAAUCCUGCGGCUUAACCGCAGGGCUGCCUUCUAAACUGUCGGGCUCGAGCACGGUAGAGGCAGAUGGAAUUCCCGGUGUAGCGGUGGAAUGCGUAGAGAUCGGGAAGAACAUCAGUGGCGAAGGCGGGUCUCUGGGCAGUAACUGACGCUGAGGAGCGAAAGCGUGGGGAGCGAACAGG